AGAAUUUCGACUUAUUUAUUUACUUGUUUGUUUGUUAAUGCUUUGGUAGAGGUUGUGUUAGUGUUGCCACGGGUAGUGUUAUGGGCCUAGUGGUAGUGUGACAAGACUUUGGUAGAGGUUGUGUUAGUGUUGCCACGGGUAGUGUUAUGGGCCUAGUGGUAGUGUGACAAGACUUUGGUAGAGGUUGUGUUAGUGUUGCCACGGGUAGUGUUAUGGGCCUAGUGGUAGUAUGACAAGACUUUGGUAGAGGUUGUGUUAGUGUUGCCACGGGUAGUGUUAUGGGCCUAGUGGUAGUGUGACAAGACUUUGGUAGAGGUUGUGUUAGUGUUGCCACGGGUAGUGUUAUGGGCCUAGUGGUAGUGUGACAAGACUUUGGUAGAGGUUGUGUUAGUGUUGCCACGGGUAGUGUUAUGAGCCUAGUGGUAGUGUGACAAGACUUUGGUAGAGGUUGUGUUAGUGUUGCCACGGGUAGUGUUAUGGGCCUAGUGAUAGUAUGACAAGACUUUGGUAGAGGUUGUGUUAGUGUUUCCAUGGGUAGUGUUAUGGGCCUAGUGAUAGUGUGACAAGACUUCUGUAUCAUGAAUGUGAAAAACUACUCAUGAGAACUCGACUCAUCUCCUCUGUCGCCCUUGGAAAUACAUCUGUGAGAAUCUUAUUUGAGUCACUUUCCCUCCCCUUCCUUCCUUCCUUCCCCAUCCCUCAGGCCUCCCCUUCCUUCCCUCCCCCUCCCUCAGCCCUCCCCUUCCAUCCUUCCCCUUCCCUCAGCACUCCCUUUCCUUCCUUUCCCUUCCCUCAGCCCAAAGCGUCGAACCUAGGAUGUACUUGCUGGGUGGUUUGUUUGGGGUGACAUUAACUUCAAGCACUCUCUAUCUGUUUAUCUAUUUAUCUGUCUAUCUCCAUGUGUGUUGCGUGUCCCGUGAUCCGCGCCUUCCCAGGACGGAGCCUCACGGGGCUGGCUCACCUUCGUUAGUUGGUCCCCUCCCUCAGCCUCCCUCGUAGUACCGCCGCGGACUGAACACUCAAGAGGCAGCCUUGUGUCCCUGCCUCUUCAUUGUCGCCCCCUGGAGCAGGUUGGCCGUGGUAAGGUGAGGCAGCAGCUGUACAGCCAACCCUUCCCCCCUCCCCCCCAAGGCCCGUACCCACGCUGCCCCCCCCCUCCAUGCCCUCCCCCCGCCGCCAGCUGCCGCCGGCUGGGCCUUCGUCACUUAUGCUGCAUUAGGAAAUUGUGCAGCUUAAGGGUGAGCUGGAGCACGACACUCACGCCUCCACACACAGGCGUCGCCGCCGCCCCCGCCGCACCGCCACGCCGUCACCGUCACCGUCACACAACUCUGAUACGAGUCACUCCGCCUCGACCCGGCGAGUCGCGAAAUGUGUUUAUCAGCGGCACAGCGCGGCCACCGCGACGCAGCUCCCGCCGACUGGUUGUUUACGGCGCGGGUGUGGGCGAGGCUGAUUUACCUGCCAGGAGGGAGAGCGGCAGGCAGGCAGGCAGGCUGGAGGAGUCCUGUAUCUCCGUCCCGGUGUGGUGAGUGUACCGUCCCGCAGCAGCAGCAGCAGCUGUGUCCACACGGGCGGGCCGCGGCAGCCACAGGUGCCACGCCCCGCCGCACACACACACACACACACACGUGCCUCGCCGCCUGGUGCCGGGGUCAGUCUUCAUCAGCGCUGGUUCAUUUCAUUGUGUUGCAGCAACACUGUGGAGGCCUGUCGGUGUGUUCAGCGGGUGGCGGCGGGCGUGCAGGUGGUGACGGGUGCGUGGCCGUCACUCCGCCAGCCAACCGUCCACACAUGGCCAGGCCGGGAGGUCCCCGCCCUCGGCAGCGGCGGGGACGCACGGUGACGGGGCCCGGGGCUGCCGGCUAAAAAUAGCAAGGUGACGACGCCCCACCAUUGCCGCCACCACCACCACCACCACCACGGGAGGCCUGGCUCUCCCGGGGCGGGGCGGGGCGAACAGAGCUGUCAAGGAACGAUCAGUAUUAUCAGUCAAUGGUAAUACUGCACUGCAAAGGCCUUUCCCAACGUCCUCCACGUCAUGGCCGUGCCCGCCAUCCUGCCCCAGCCUGGGUUCCCUGGUCCUCGGUCUGGCGUGGCGGGCACGCUCCUGGGUUGCCACUCGGUUACUCGGUUACGCUGUCACCAGUCCAAGGCUUGGCCCAGCACACCUCUUGUUCUCGGGCCAGCCAUAAGGAUCAUGCAGGGACUGUCAAGGAAGGGCCGCCGCACCCACGCCUGCCGGGCUCCGCGGUGUCGUGGGAGGGUGACGCACGCAGCCUGUGCACGACUGUCCCGAGAGUCUUGACGCGGGUCAUGCAGUGACGACCCACUGCCUCGCCCCACGCCUCCCUGGGCCGCCGGAGGAAGGCAUCAACUCCCUGCUGCUACGGACUGACUGCAUCAGUCCGACGCGACGUUGCUUUCCUUACUCUCUCUGCUCGAUGUUUUCAUGGUGACUGCCCUCCUUGCCUCCCGCCGCACAGCCCUUUUCUUUGUCCAGACUUUUAAACGCAUCGGGGCUUCUUGCUACUUCCCAAGGCCACAGAGAAGAGCUGUGUGUGUGUGUGUGUGUGUAAUCCCUUCCCGGCCCAUUAUCACGUGACUUAACUUUCCCCUCGCUUUCCAUUAUACCUCCCUCCCAUCCCCUUCCUUCCCCUUCCUUCCCUCCCCUUCUCUCAGCCCUCCCCUUCCCUUUCCUUCCAUUUCCUUUCCUUCCCUUCCCCUUC
This is a long non-coding RNA of Eriocheir sinensis (Chinese mitten crab), 2729 nucleotides long. RefSeq lists it as uncharacterized. The transcript has 3 exons. The record is from RefSeq and is a predicted model, not a curated record. NCBI's taxonomy places the organism in Eukaryota, Metazoa, Arthropoda, Malacostraca, Decapoda, Varunidae.